AGAGUUUGAUCCUGGCUCAGGAUGAAUGCUGGCGGCGUGCUUAACACAUGCAAGUCGAACGAAGCGAUCAGGAGGAAGUUUUCGGAUGGAAUCCGGAUUGACUGAGUGGCGGACGGGUGAGUAACGCGUGGGUAACCUGCCUCAUACAGGGGGAUAACAGUUAGAAAUGACUGCUAAUACCGCAUAAGCGCACAGGGACACAUGUUCCGGUGUGAAAAACUCCGGUGGUAUGAGAUGGACCCGCGUCUGAUUAGCUGGUUGGCGGGGUAACGGCCCACCAAGGCGACGAUCAGUAGCCGACCUGAGAGGGUGACCGGCCACAUUGGGACUGAGACACGGCCCAAACUCCUACGGGAGGCAGCAGUGGGGAAUAUUGCACAAUGGGGGAAACCCUGAUGCAGCAACGCCGCGUGAGUGAAGAAGUAUUUCGGUAUGUAAAGCUCUAUCAGCAGGGAAGAAGAUGACGGUACCUGAGUAAGAAGCCCCGGCUAACUACGUGCCAGCAGCCGCGGUAAUACGUAGGGGGCAAGCGUUAUCCGGAUUUACUGGGUGUAAAGGGAGCGUAGACGGUGAGACAAGUCUGAAGUGAAAGCCCGGGGCUCAACCCCGGGACUGCUUUGGAAACUGCCAUGCUGGAGUGCUGGAGAGGUAAGCGGAAUUCCUAGUGUAGCGGUGAAAUGCGUAGAUAUUAGGAGGAACACCAGUGGCGAAGGCGGAUUACUGGACGAUAACUGACGGUGAGGCGCGAAAGCGUGGGGAGCAAACAGGAUCAGAUACCCUGGUAGUCCACGCUGUAAACGAUCGAUACUAGGUGUGCGGGGACUGACCCCCUGCGUGCCGGAGUUAACACAAUAAGUAUCGCACCUGGGGAGUACGAUCGCAAGGUUGAAACUCAAAGGAAUUGACGGGGGCCCGCACAAGCGGUGGAUUAUGUGGUUUAAUUCGAAGCAACGCGAAGAACCUUACCAGGGCUUGACAUCCUGCUAACGAAGUAGAGAUACAUUAGGUGCCCUUCGGGGAAAGCAGAGACAGGUGGUGCAUGGUUGUCGUCAGCUCGUGUCGUGAGAUGUUGGGUUAAGUCCCGCAACGAGCGCAACCCUUGUCCUUAGUAGCCAUCAGGUAAAGCUGGGCACUCUAUGGAGACUGCCGGGGAUAACCCGGAGGAAGGUGGGGAUGACGUCAAAUCAUCAUGCCCCUUAUGACUUGGGCUACACACGUGCUACAAUGGCGUAAACAAAGGGAAGCAAGCAUGUGAGUGUAAGCAAAUCUCAAAAAUAACGUCUCAGUUCGGAUUGUAGUCUGCAACUCGACUACAUGAAGCUGGAAUCGCUAGUAAUCGCGAAUCAGAAUGUCGCGGUGAAUACGUUCCCGGGUCUUGCACUCACCGCCCGUCA
This 1394-nucleotide ribosomal RNA is filed under the name uncultured bacterium. RNAcentral's name for it is "16S ribosomal RNA". It matches the Rfam family "Bacterial small subunit ribosomal RNA". The record is from RNAcentral.